CCUACGGGAGGCAGCAGUGGGGAAUCUUGCGCAAUGGGCGAAAGCCUGACGCAGCAACGCCGCGUGCGGGAAGAAGGCUUUCGGGCUGUAAACCGCUUUCAGCAGGAACGAAAAUGACGGUACCGCAGAAGAAGGAGCGGCCAACUAUGUGCCAGCAGCCGCGGUGAUACAUAGGCUUCAAGCGUUGUCCGGAUUUAUUGGGCGUAAAGAGUUCGUAGGCGGUCGAGUAAGUCGGGUGUGAAAAUUCUGGGCUCAACCCAGAGACGCCACCCGAUACUGCUUGACUUGAGUUCGAUAGGGGAGUGGGGAAUUCCUAGUGUAGCGGUGAAAUGCGCAGAUAUUAGGAGGAACACCGGUGGCGAAGGCGCCACUCUGGAUCGAUACUGACGCUGAGGAACGAAAGCAUGGGUAGCAAACAGGAUUAGAUACCCUGGUAGUCCAUGCCGUAAACGGUGGGCACUAGGUGUGGGUUUCUAUUAACGAAAUCCGNGCCGUCGCUAACGCAUUAAGUGCCCCGCCUGGGGAGUACGGUCGCAAGCUAAAACUCAAAGGAAUUGACGG
Molecule: ribosomal RNA, 561 nt
Filed under: uncultured bacterium
Lineage: Bacteria
Description: bacterial SSU rRNA
Rfam family: Bacterial small subunit ribosomal RNA
Source: RNAcentral